This 195-nucleotide long non-coding RNA is filed under the name Mustela putorius furo (domestic ferret). RNAcentral's name for it is "lncRNA (ENSMPUG00000026609.1)". Lineage: Eukaryota; Metazoa; Chordata; Mammalia; Carnivora; Mustelidae. The record is from RNAcentral.
GGGGGGUGUCAGGAAUGUUCUCUUUGGGGGAAACAGGUGUGUUGGAUGCCUCAGCUGAAGUGAUGUAGGGUGCUGCUGUAGUGGCAACAGGCAUGGUGGGGGCUGGUGAGAUACUGAAGGAAGGAGUGGUUGAGGCACCAGAGGUGGUGGUUAGGAGAACUGAAGUCAUUGUGGCUGUAGCUGUGGUGUCCAGGG